Molecule: ribosomal RNA, 468 nt
Filed under: uncultured bacterium
Lineage: Bacteria
Description: partial 16S ribosomal RNA
Rfam family: Bacterial small subunit ribosomal RNA
Source: RNAcentral
GACGAACGCUGGCGGCGUGCUUAACACAUGCAAGUCGAACGGAAAGGCCCUGCUUUUGUGGGGUGCUCGAGUGGCGAACGGGUGAGUAACACGUGAGUAACCUGCCCUUGACUUUGGGAUAACUUCAGGAAACUGGGGCUAAUACCGGAUAGGAGCUCCUGCUGCAUGGUGGGGGUUGGAAAGUUUCGGCGGUUGGGGAUGGACUCGCGGCUUAUCAGCUUGUUGGUGGGGUAGUGGCUUACCAAGGCUUUGACGGGUAGCCGGCCUGAGAGGGUGACCGGCCAAAUUGGGACUGAGAUAAGGCACAGACUCGUACGGGAGGCAGCAGUGGGGAAUAUUGCACAAUGGGCGGAAGCCUGACGCAGCAACGCCGCGUGCGGGAUGACGGCCUUCGGGUUGUAAACCGCUUUCGCCUGUGACGAAGCGUGAGUGACGGUAAUGGGUAAAGAAGCACCGGCUAACUACGUG